CCUACGGGUGGCAGCAGUGAGGAAUAUUGGUCAAUGGCCGGAAGGCUGAACCAGCCAUGCCGCGUGAAGGUCAGUGCCCUAUGGGUUGUAAACCUCUUUUUUAAAGGGAUAAAGUGAGGCACGUGUGCCUUUUUGUAUUUACUUUAUGAAUAAGGAUCGGCUAACUCCGUGCCCGCAGCCGCGGUAAUACGGAGGAUCCGGGCGUUAUCCGGAUUUAUUGGGUUUAAAGGGAGCGUAGAUGGGUUGUUAAGUCAGUUGUGAAAGUUUGCGGCUCAACCGUAAAAUUGCAAUUGAUACUGGCAGCCUUGAGUACAGUUGAGGUAGGCGGAAUUCGUGGUGUAGCGGUGAAAUGCUUAGAUAUCACGAAGAACUCCGAUUGCGAAGGCAGCUUACUAAACUGCCACUGACAUUGAUGCUCGAAAGUGUGGGUAUCAAACAGGAUUAGAUACCCUAGUAGUC
RNAcentral lists this ribosomal RNA (459 nucleotides) under uncultured bacterium. Its description in RNAcentral is "partial 16S ribosomal RNA". It matches the Rfam family "Bacterial small subunit ribosomal RNA", at positions 338 to 795 of the family's 1533-position model. The record is from RNAcentral.